This 345-nucleotide unclassified non-coding RNA is filed under the name Hevea brasiliensis (rubber tree). The record is from RNAcentral. Lineage: Eukaryota; Viridiplantae; Streptophyta; Magnoliopsida; Malpighiales; Euphorbiaceae.
AGGCUGAAAUGGAUGCAAAGUCUGUUUCUAACAAUGCUGUCCCCUGGGCUGCAAGAUCACGUCUUCCAGAAGUUUCACAUGGUGGGAACAGACAUUCUGCUGCAUCUUCUGAGGCGGCAAUGAAGAUUUCAGCUGCACAACUUACAGCUUCAAAAAAUGGUCCAGUCAAGCCUGUACAGGGGGAGACUAUGGGAAAGUCUGCAUCUGCCUCUCCAGGGUCCAGGAAAUCGGUACCAUCUUCUGCAUCAGUGGAUAAUAGCUUAAAAGAAGGACAGGUCUGUAAUAUUGGGGUUAUUGGUGCAUCUGAACUUAUCGUAGCUGUGAGGGAGGAGAAAAGCAGCAGUU